CCCGGCUUAGCUCAGUUGGUAGAGCGGCGGACUGUAGAGGGAACACGGGGUGAAACCGCCGUAAUCCGCAGGUCUCUGGUUCGAAUCCGGAAGCCGGGA
Molecule: transfer RNA, 99 nt
Filed under: Thermoplasmatales archaeon E-plasma
Lineage: Archaea; Methanobacteriati; Thermoplasmatota; Thermoplasmata; Thermoplasmatales
Rfam family: tRNA
About the family: Transfer RNA (tRNA) molecules are approximately 80 nucleotides in length.
Source: Rfam by way of RNAcentral